GACGAACGCUGGCGGCGUGCUUAACACAUGCAAGUCGAACGGAAAGGCCCUGCUUGCAGGGUACUCGAGUGGCGAACGGGUGAGUAACACGUGGGUGAUCUGCCCUGCACUUCGGGAUAAGCUUGGGAAACUGGGUCUAAUACCGGAUAUGAGCCAUCUUUAGUGUGGUGGUUGGAAAGUUUUUUCGGUGUAGGAUGAGCUCGCGGCCUAUCAGCUUGUUGGUGGGGUAAUGGCCUACCAAGGCGGCGACGGGUAGACGGCCUGAGAGGGUGUACGGCCACAUUGGGACUGAGAUACGGCCCAGACUCCUACGGGAGGCAGCAGUGGGGAAUAUUGCACAAUGGGCGCAAGCCUGAUGCAGCGAAGCCGCGUGGGGGAUGAAGGCCUUCGGGUUGUAAACUCCGUUCGCUAGGGACGAAGCUUUUUUGUGACGGUACCUAGAUAAGAAGCACCGGCUAACUACGUG
RNAcentral lists this ribosomal RNA (466 nucleotides) under uncultured bacterium. Its description in RNAcentral is "partial 16S ribosomal RNA". It matches the Rfam family "Bacterial small subunit ribosomal RNA", at positions 28 to 507 of the family's 1533-position model. The record is from RNAcentral.